CAGUUAUGGUUCCUUANAUCGUACCCACAAUUACUUGGAUNACUGUGGUAAUUCUAGAGCUAAUACAUGCAAACAGAGCUCCGACCGGAGACGGAAGGAGUGCUUUUAUUAGAUCAAAACCAAUCGGUGGCGAGUUCUCGCUCGUCAUCGUACAAAUUGGUGACUCUGAAUAACUUUACGCUGAUCGCACGGUCAUCGCACCGGCGACGCAUCUUUCAAAUGUCUGCCUUAUCAACUGUCGAUGGUAGGUUCUGCGCCUACCAUGGUUGUAACGGGUAACGGGGAAUCAGGGUUCGAUUCCGGAGAGGGAGCCUGAGAAACGGCUACCACAUCCAAGGAAGGCAGCAGGCGCGCAAAUUACCCACUCCCGGCACGGGGAGGUAGUGACGAAAAAUAACGAUACGGGACUCAUCCGAGGCCCCGUAAUCGGAAUGAGUACACUCUAAACCCUUUAACGAGGAUCAAUUGGAGGGCAAGUCUGGUGCCAGCAGCCGCGGUAAUUCCAGCUCCAAUAGCGUAUAUUAAAGUUGUUGCGGUUAAAAAGCUCGUAGUCGAAUUUGUGUCUCGUGCCGCUGGUUCAUCGUCCGCGGUGUUUACUGGCGAGUCGCGAGACGUCCUGCCGGUGGGCUUAGCUCGCAAGGGCGGCCCAACUCAAUCCUGCCGCGGUGCUCUUGAUUGAGUGUCAAGGUGGGCCGGCACGUUUACUUUGAACAAAUUAGAGUGCUUAAAGCAGGCUAAAACUUCGCNUGAAUACUGUGUGCAUGGAAUAAUGGAAUAGGACCUCGGUUCUAUUUUGUUGGUUUUCGGAACUCCGAGGUAAUGAUUAAUAGGAACGGAUGGGGGCAUUCGUAUUGCGACGUUAGAGGUGAAAUUCUUGGAUCGUCGCAAGACCGACAGAAGCGAAAGCAUUUGCCAAAAACGCUUUCAUUGAUCAAGAACGAAAGUUAGAGGUUCGAAGGCGAUCAGAUACCGCCCUAGUUCUAACUAUAAACGAUGCCAGCUAGCGAUCCGUCGACGUUCCUCCGAUGACUCGACGGGCAGCUUCCGGGAAACCAAAGCUUUUGGGUUCCGGGGGAAGUAUGGUUGCAAAGCUGAAACUUAAAGGAAUUGACGGAAGGGCACCACCAGGAGUGGAGCCUGCGGCUUAAUUUGACUCAACACGGGAAACCUCACCAGGCCCGGACACCGGAAGGAUUGACAGAUUGAGAGCUCUUUCUUGAUUCGGUGGGUGGUGGUGCAUGGCCGUUCUUAGUUGGUGGAGCGAUUUGUCUGGUUAAUUCCGAUAACGAACGAGACUCUAGCCUGCUAACUAGGCGUAUUUUGACAUCCUAAAGGCCCGCCGGCUUGGGGUUCGCUCCCUUGUCGUGCGCGGUUUUUACUGUCGGCGUACAAACAAUUCUUCUUAGAGGGACAGGCGGCUUCUANCCGCACGAGAUUGAGCAAUAACAGGUCUGUGAUGCCCUUAGAUGUUCUGGGCCGCACGCGCGCUACACUGAAGGAAUCAGCGUGUCCUCCCUGGCCGAGUGGCCCGGGUAACCCGCUGAACCUCCUUCGUGCUAGGGAUUGGGGCUUGCAAUUGUUCCCCAUGAACGAGGAAUUCCCAGUAAGCGCGAGUCAUAAGCUCGCGUUGANUACGUCCUGCCUUUGUAGANAC
RNAcentral lists this ribosomal RNA (1654 nucleotides) under Auletes nebulosus. Its description in RNAcentral is "SSU rRNA". It matches the Rfam family "Eukaryotic small subunit ribosomal RNA", at positions 107 to 1669 of the family's 1831-position model. The record is from RNAcentral. Lineage: Eukaryota; Metazoa; Arthropoda; Insecta; Coleoptera; Attelabidae.